CGAGUCGGUCGGGCGGUCGCGGCGGGGUGACCCGUCGAGGAAAGUCCGGACUCCGAAGGGCAGGGUGGUUGCUAACGGCAACCCGGGGCGACCCGCGGGACAGUGCCACAGAAAACAGACCGCCUGGUGUGAUCCACCAGGUAAGGGUGAAACGGUGGUGUAAGAGACCACCAGCACCCCGGGUGACCGGGGUGGCUCGGUAAACCCCACCCGGAGCAAGGUCAAGAGGGAGCACCUCGGUGCUCCUGCGCAGGCGUUCGAGGGUUGCCCGCCCGAGCCUGCGGGUAGACCGCUAGAGCCUGUCGGUGACGGCAGGCCCAGAUGGAUGGCCGCCCCCCGGCACUGCCGGGGACAGGAUCCGGCUUACACGCCGACUCGUCCG
Molecule: RNase P RNA, 382 nt
Filed under: Actinophytocola xanthii
Lineage: Bacteria; Bacillati; Actinomycetota; Actinomycetes; Pseudonocardiales; Pseudonocardiaceae
Description: Bacterial RNase P class A
Rfam family: Bacterial RNase P class A
About the family: Ribonuclease P (RNase P) is a ubiquitous endoribonuclease, found in archaea, bacteria and eukarya as well as chloroplasts and mitochondria. Its best characterised activity is the generation of mature 5'-ends of tRNAs by cleaving the 5'-leader elements of precursor-tRNAs. Cellular RNase Ps are ribonucleoproteins.
Source: Rfam by way of RNAcentral